RNAcentral lists this transfer RNA (76 nucleotides) under Caldicellulosiruptor naganoensis. RNAcentral's name for it is "tRNA-Ile". It matches the Rfam family "tRNA". Rfam says of the family: Transfer RNA (tRNA) molecules are approximately 80 nucleotides in length. Their secondary structure includes four short double-helical elements and three loops (D, anti-codon, and T loops). Further hydrogen bonds mediate the characteristic L-shaped molecular structure. tRNAs have two regions of fundamental functional importance: the anti-codon, which is responsible for specific mRNA codon recognition, and the 3' end, to which the tRNAs corresponding amino acid is attached (by aminoacyl-tRNA synthetases). tRNAs cope with the degeneracy of the genetic code in two manners: having more than one tRNA (with a specific anti-codon) for a particular amino acid; and 'wobble' base-pairing, i.e. permitting non-standard base-pairing at the 3rd anti-codon position. RNAcentral also lists the same sequence under 1 other name. The record is from RNAcentral. Lineage: Bacteria; Bacillati; Bacillota; Caldicellulosiruptorales; Caldicellulosiruptoraceae.
GGGCCUUUAGCUCAGCUGGUAGAGCAGCCGGCUCAUAACCGGUCGGUCUGGGGUUCGAGUCCCUAAGGGCCCACCA